RNAcentral lists this RNase P RNA (420 nucleotides) under Segetibacter sp. RNAcentral describes it as "RNase P RNA component class A". It matches the Rfam family "Bacterial RNase P class A". Rfam says of the family: Ribonuclease P (RNase P) is a ubiquitous endoribonuclease, found in archaea, bacteria and eukarya as well as chloroplasts and mitochondria. Its best characterised activity is the generation of mature 5'-ends of tRNAs by cleaving the 5'-leader elements of precursor-tRNAs. Cellular RNase Ps are ribonucleoproteins. Lineage: Bacteria; Pseudomonadati; Bacteroidota; Chitinophagia; Chitinophagales; Chitinophagaceae. The record is from RNAcentral.
ACUACCAACCGAGCUAUCGCCUUUGUAAAAAGGGGAGGAAAGUCCGGACAGCGCAGAGCAACCUACCGGUGAAUAGCCGGCUAUUUGUUAUGUAAGCUUGUCGAAGCAUAACAGAUAAGAGACAGUGCCACAGAAAAUAACUACGAGUUUUUCAUUCCCCUCCUUCGGGAGGGGUUUGGGGAGAUCCCGUAAAGGUGAAAACGUAGGGUAAGAGCCUACGAUACUUGUAAGUAAUUACAGGUAAGGGUAAACCUUAGGUGCUGAAAUGCCACGUAUAGGAUGGGAUGAAGACUGCUCGUCUAACGUUUUCUGUAAAAAGAAGACACCAUCCAGGGUAGGCAGAAACAGGUUCCGGGUAACCGGGAUCGCAGAUAAAUGAUAGCAUUGGAACAAAAUCCGGCUUAUGAGUUGGUAGUAUUA